RNAcentral lists this long non-coding RNA (706 nucleotides) under Mytilus galloprovincialis (Mediterranean mussel). The record is from RNAcentral. Lineage: Eukaryota; Metazoa; Mollusca; Bivalvia; Mytilida; Mytilidae.
AAACUGUCAAUUGAAUACGGUAGGUUUUUGGUGACCUCAAAUGCCCAAUAUUUUGGCAUCUUAAAAAAAAUUCGUCUAUACAGGACUGUCAACAAAAUCAUUGUCCUGCUCAGUUUAUGAGGGGGAUGACGCGCUGGCAUUCAUUUGCCAACCACCCCCACCCUUUUUCCCCCCAAUUCCAACUACUUUUCCUUCUUUUUUAGAGAUCAAACUUUUAACCGUCAUUAUAUCUCAUCCCUUAAGCAUGUCAUCCCCUUCAUUUAAUGUCACAACAUCCAAUUAAGCUUAACUUUUUCUUUCUAUGAAAUCUAAUGUACACCUAUUCUAUCUUUCAAUAAUUACAAUGCUGACGUCAGGUCAUCUAAGAUAAAAAUUUCUUAUCCUACAUCCACCAUUAGAUAUACUUAAUGUACAUACCAAUAUAAUAUCCUACAUCUGUACAAUAAAACAAAUACAGGCUUUGCACCGCAGAAUGAAUAUAUGUAACCAUAAUUUCUAUACAGAAAUGUAUAAAAUUUAUAUACCUUGCCAUAUCAAUUCCGAUUUUAAUGCCAAACUUGUAUUUUUUGACAAAAUACUAAUCAGUGGUUGAUUAAAAAAAAUUCAACAGAGUUGAGUCUCAUUUGGGUAAUGGAAUGUUUUGGCCGUAAAAAGUUAACAAAAAAUAUUCAAAAUAAUUGGCAAUUAAUCAAAACCUUUGCAAUCA